GACGAACGCUGGCGGCGUGCUUAACACAUGCAAGUCGAACGGAAAGGCCCUGCUUUUGCGGGGUGCUCGAGUGGCGAACGGGUGAGUAACACGUGAGUAACCUGCCCUUGACUUUGUGAUAACUUCAGGAAACUGGGGCUAAUACCGGAUAGGAGCUCCUGCUGCAUGGUGGGGGUUGGAAAGUUUCGGCGGUUGGGGAUGGACUCGCGGCUUAUCAGCUUGUUGGGGGGGUAGUGGCUUACCAAGGGUUUGACGGGUAGCCGGCCUGAGAGGGUGACCGGCCACAUUGGGACUGAGAUACGGACCAGACUCCUACGGGAGGCAGCAGUGGGGAAUAUUGCACAAUGGGCGGAAGCCUGAUGCAGCGACGCCGCGUGCGGGAUGACGGCCUUCGGGUUGUAAACCGAUUUCGCAGGUGACGAAGCGUGAGUGACGGUAAUGGGUAAAGAAGCAACGGCUAACUACGUG
Molecule: ribosomal RNA, 468 nt
Filed under: uncultured bacterium
Lineage: Bacteria
Description: partial 16S ribosomal RNA
Rfam family: Bacterial small subunit ribosomal RNA
Source: RNAcentral